GGUCUCGUAGUUUAGUGGUAAAACGCGCGCCUGAUAAGCGCAAGAGGACAGUUCAAUUCUGUUCGGGACCA
Molecule: transfer RNA, 71 nt
Filed under: Bigelowiella natans
Lineage: Eukaryota; Cercozoa; Chlorarachniophyceae
Description: tRNA-Ile
Rfam family: tRNA
About the family: Transfer RNA (tRNA) molecules are approximately 80 nucleotides in length.
Source: RNAcentral